UGGGGAAUUUUGGACAAUGGGGGAAACCCUGAUCCAGCCAUCCCGCGUGUGCGAUGAAGGCCUUCGGGUUGUAAAGCACUUUUGGCAGGAAAGAAACGUCGCGGGUUAAUACCCCGCGAAACUGACGGUACCUGCAGAAUAAGCACCGGCUAACUACGUGCCAGCAGCCGCGGUAAUACGUAGGGUGCAAGCGUUAAUCGGAAUUACUGGGCGUAAAGCGUGCGCAGGCGGUUCGGAAAGAAAGAUGUGAAAUCCCAGAGCUUAACUUUGGAACUGCAUUUUUAACUACCGGGCUAGAGUGUGUCAGAGGAGGUGGAAUUCCGCGUGUAGCAGUGAAAUGCGUAGNUAUGCGGAGGAACACCGAUGGCGAAGGCAGCCUCCUGGGAUAACACUGACGCUCAUGCACGAAAGCGUGGGGAGCAAAACAGGAUUAGAUACCCUGGUAGUCACGCCCUAAACGAUGUCAACUAGCUGUUGGGGCCUUCGGCCUUGGUAG
Molecule: ribosomal RNA, 496 nt
Filed under: uncultured bacterium
Lineage: Bacteria
Description: partial 16S ribosomal RNA
Rfam family: Bacterial small subunit ribosomal RNA
Source: RNAcentral